UGGGGAAUUUUGCACAAUGGGGGCAACCCUGAUGCAGCGACGCCGCGUGAUUUAGAAGGCCUUCGGGUUGUAAAAAUCUUUUGUAUAGGAAGAAAAUGACAGUACUAUACGAAUAAGGUCCGGCUAAUUACGUGCCAGCAGCCGCGGUAAUACGUAAGGACCGAGCGUUGUCCGGAAUCAUUGGGCGUAAAGGGUACGUAGGCGGUUAAAAAAGUUAGAAGUGAAAGGCUAUAGCUCAACUAUAGUAAGCUUUUAAAACUGUUUAACUUGAGAGAUGGAAGGGAAAGUGGAAUUCCUAGUGUAGCGGUGAAAUGCGCAGAUAUUAGGCGGACUACCGGUGACGAAGGCGACUUUCUGGCCAUUAUCUGACGCUGAGGUACGAAAGCGUGGGUAGCAAACAGG
Molecule: ribosomal RNA, 402 nt
Filed under: Actinomycetes bacterium
Lineage: Bacteria; Bacillati; Actinomycetota; Actinomycetes
Description: Actinobacteria bacterium partial 16S ribosomal RNA
Rfam family: Bacterial small subunit ribosomal RNA
Source: RNAcentral